UGGAAAUGUACCAUGUGCCAGGCCCUGUGCUAAGUGCUUCACGUGGAGGGCCUCACUGAAUUCUUAUCACCACAUGAUGCGUUCUUAGCCUCACUUUACAGGUUCAGAAACUGAGGUUAGUUAAGCUCCUGCUCUAAUCAUCACUGUAAGUUAUAAGAUAUUUGAAUUACAUUGAAGCAGUGUAUGGAGAUUUCCUUUCUUUUAAUGCUGCCAGAUGACUGAGUUUUAAACCUCCCUGAAGAGAAUCUCUAAGCUUUCAAAUCAAGGAAUCUUAUUGGUUGCAAGAUAAACUUGCUGCUAAUUUUUGGAACAAUCUCACAAUUGGUUACUGGGAUACUGUCUGAAGAGAAGAUCCUGGGACACUCAUAACUAUCCUUAUAAGAUUCUGUCAGGCUAAACAAGCCCAGGUUCUCUAUUUGGACUUCUACUUGAGAAAUGACUUGCAAAGAUGUAGUUCAGUCUUAAAAAACAAACAAACAAACAAGCAAGCAAGCAAACAAGCAAAAACUUUUCGGGAUUAUUUGAGCUCUAUCUUUGACAGCCAAGGCAAAAGGAGCUGGGAAGUUUCCCUUGAUAAAAGAAUUGUCUUAUUGUCUUAUCAAGAUUCCCUUGAUAAGAGAAGGGAGAUACAUCAAGUAGAAAUAUGAUUUAAGAGUGCGGGCUGUGUUGGUUAUUCAAUUAUCGUC
This is a long non-coding RNA of Orcinus orca (killer whale), 686 nucleotides long. RefSeq lists it as uncharacterized. The record is from RefSeq and is a predicted model, not a curated record. NCBI's taxonomy places the organism in Eukaryota, Metazoa, Chordata, Mammalia, Artiodactyla, Delphinidae. The transcript is spliced from 3 exons.